RNAcentral lists this ribosomal RNA (425 nucleotides) under uncultured bacterium. RNAcentral's name for it is "partial 16S ribosomal RNA". It matches the Rfam family "Bacterial small subunit ribosomal RNA", at positions 354 to 796 of the family's 1533-position model. The record is from RNAcentral.
GUGGGGAAUAUUGGACAAUGGGCGCAAGCCUGAUCCAGCCAUGCCGCGUGAGUGAUGAAGGCCUUAGGGUUGUAAAGCUCUUUUGUCCGGGAAGAUAAUGACUGUACCGGAAGAAUAAGCCCCGGCUAACUUCGUGCCAGCAGCCGCGGUAAUACGAAGGGGGCUAGCGUUGUUCGGAAUCACUCGGCGUAAAGCGCACGUAGGCGGACCAUUAAGUCAGGGGUGAAAGCCUGGAGCUCAACGCCAGAACUGCCUUUGAUACUGAUGGUCUCGAUGUCGGAAGAGGUUGGUGGAACUGCGAGUGUAGAGGUGAAAUUCGUAGAUAUUCGCAAGAACACCAGUGGCGAAGGCGGCCAACUGGUCCGAUACUGACGCUGAGGUGCGAAAGCGUGGGGAGCAAACAGGAUUAGAAACCCGGGUAGUCC